UGCAGUCGAACGGCAGCGCGGGGCAACCUGGCGGCGAGUGGCGAACGGGUGAGCCCUAUAUCGGAACGUACCCUGGAGUGGGGGAUAACGUAGCGAAAGUUACGCUAAUACCGCAUACGAUCUAAGGAUGAAAGUGGGGGAUUCGCAAGAACCUCAUGCUCCUGGAGCGGCCGAUAUCUGAUUAGCUAGUUGGUGGGGUAAAGGCCUACCAAGGCAUCGAUCAGUAGCUGGUCUGAGAGGACGACCAGCCACACUGGAACUGAGACACGGUCCAGACUCCUACGGGAGGCAGCAGUGGGGAAUUUUGGACAAUGGGCGAAAGCCUGAUCCAGCAAUGCCGCGUGAGUGAAGAAGGCCUUCGGGUUGUAAAGCUCUUUUGUCAGGGAAGAAACGGUGAGGGCUAAUAUCCCUUGCUAAUGACGGUACCUGAAGAAUAAGCACCGGCUAACUACGUGCCAGCAGCCGCGGUAAUACGUAGGGUGCAAGCGUUAAUCGGAAUUACUGGGCGUAAAGCGUGCGCAGGCGGUUUUGUAAGUCUGUCGUGAAAUCCCCGGGCUCAACCUGGGAAUUGCGAUGGAGACUGCAAGGCUAGAGUCUGGCAGAGGGGGGUAGAAUUCCACGUGUAGCAGUGAAAUGCGUAGAGAUGUGGAGGAACACCGAUGGCGAAGGCAGCCCCCUGGGUCAAGAUUGACGCUCAUGCACGAAAGCGUGGGGAGCAAACAGGAUUAGAUACCCUGGUAGUCCACGCCCUAAACGAUGUCUACUAGUUGUCGGGUUUUAAUUAACUUGGUAACGCAGCUAACGCGUGAAGUAGACCGCCUGGGGAGUACGGUCGCAAGAUUAAACUCAAAGGAAUUGACGGGGA
RNAcentral lists this ribosomal RNA (865 nucleotides) under Janthinobacterium sp. LT1CD. Its description in RNAcentral is "bacterial SSU rRNA". It matches the Rfam family "Bacterial small subunit ribosomal RNA", at positions 56 to 919 of the family's 1533-position model. Lineage: Bacteria; Pseudomonadati; Pseudomonadota; Betaproteobacteria; Burkholderiales; Oxalobacteraceae. The record is from RNAcentral.